RNAcentral lists this ribosomal RNA (308 nucleotides) under uncultured eukaryote. Its description in RNAcentral is "partial 18S ribosomal RNA". It matches the Rfam family "Eukaryotic small subunit ribosomal RNA", at positions 1470 to 1796 of the family's 1831-position model. The record is from RNAcentral.
CCCUUAGACGUUCUGGGCCGCACGCGCGCUACACUGACGAAGGCAACGAGCUUUCCUUUACCGAAAAAUACGGGUAAUCUUUUGAAACUUCGUCGUGCUGGGGAUAGAUCCUUGCAAUUUUUGAUCUUAAACGAUUAAUGUCUAGUAAGCGCAAGUCAUCAACUUGCGUUGAUUACGUCCCUGCCCUUUGUACACACCACCCAUCGCUACUACCAAUUGAAUGGUUUAGUGAGGCCUUCGGAUCCGCGACUCGUUUUGUGGAGAAGUUGGACAAACUCAGUCAUUUAGCGGAAGUAAAAGUCGUAACA